Molecule: ribosomal RNA, 698 nt
Filed under: Cantharellus lateritius
Lineage: Eukaryota; Fungi; Basidiomycota; Agaricomycetes; Cantharellales; Hydnaceae
Description: partial 28S ribosomal RNA
Rfam family: 5.8S ribosomal RNA (bases 89-284)
Source: RNAcentral
AUGGACCUAAACCUACACGCGGUGCCCCUGUUCUUGACUGAUUAGGUCUAUAACAUCAAGCUGAGUUUUCCAAACGGGUUAUCGAGAUAACUCUCAACAAUGGAUCUCUAGGCUCUUGCAUCGAUGAAGAACGCAGUGAACUGCGAUAACUGGUGUGAGUUGCACGGCACUUCUAAUCUAACACCAAGCGAAUCAUCGAGUCUUUGAACGCAAACGGCACCCUUCCAGUCCAUUCCAACGCGGUGGCGGAGGAUGAAGACAAGGGUAUCUCUGGCUGAGGGUAAUGAAAACUGAUCCAGUGUGCCGCUUUUUUUUUGGUCACUGGGGAUUGGGCUUGCUUGGGGUAAUGUCGUUGCUCUGGCUUGCUUUAAAAUCAAGCGUUGUGUGGAUUGGGCUUUCAAGCAUGCAUUGGGGACGCAGGCUCUGCGCUAUGGCAAGCCCUUGACCGUCAUAGGUGCUUUGAUUGGGGUUUCAGUCUAGCCAACAAAGGCUGGGUUGGAGACUUUGGGGCUGCAUUGGGGGGCGUAGGGCAGCUCUGUUCGUGGCGUCCGAUGACCGUCAUGGUGCAUGAUUGGACCUUCAACCAGCAAUUAUCAUUAUCUGAUAUAAUUAUAAUCAUUACUAUGGGUUACCUCAGGUCAGAGAAGACUACCCGCUGGACUUAAGCAUAUCAAUAAGCGGAGGAAAUCUAGAUGCAU